Molecule: ribosomal RNA, 495 nt
Filed under: uncultured bacterium
Lineage: Bacteria
Description: partial 16S ribosomal RNA
Rfam family: Bacterial small subunit ribosomal RNA
Source: RNAcentral
GACGAACGCUGGCGGCGUGCCUAAUACAUGCAAGUAGAACGCUGAAGGAGGAGCUUGCUUCUCUGGAUGAGUUGCGAACGGGUGAGUAACGCGUAGGUAACCUGCCUGGUAGCGGGGGAUAACUAUUGGAAACGAUAGCUAAUACCGCAUAAGAGUAGAUGUUGCAUGACAUUUGCUUAAAAGGUGCAAUUGCAUCACUACCAGAUGGACCUGCGUUGUAUUAGCUAGUUGGUGGGGUAACGGCUCACCAAGGCGACGAUACAUAGCCGACCUGAGAGGGUGAUCGGCCACACUGGGACUGAGACACGGCCCAGACUCCUACGGGAGGCAGCAGGAGGGAAUCUUCGGCAAUGGACGGAAGUCUGACCGAGCAACGCCGCGUGAGUGAAGAAGGGUUUCGGAUCGUAAAGCUCUGUUGUAAGAGAAGAACGAGUGUGAGAGUGGAAAGUUCACACUGUGACGGUAGCUUACCAGAAAGGGACGGCUAACUACGUG